GUUGUUCACAUGGACACCCUCUCCUUGCAGCUUCUUCCUUUCCCUUCUCUACAGCUUCCAAAUUAUUUCUUUCCUCACCUACCUUUUCAUUUGCUUUUCUAUUACUUUUGUGAAAAUUAUUAUUAUUAUAUUCUUCCAAAUUUUUUCCUUUUCUUUUUCCCAUCUUUUCCCAUCAACUCUGCAGCAGAAUGAACCUAUCAGUUUUGCUUGCAACUAUAGAUUUGGUUCAAUCGAUGCAAACCACUUUUUUCUUCAAUAUCUAUCCUAAAACUAUACCAACAUUCAACUCUUUCAUUCCACAUAUUCUUCUUCUUCUUCUUCUUCUUCUUCUUCUUCCUCCCUCCCUGUUCUUUCUCUUUCUCUAUUGUUAGGUGUGAUUUUUUCUUCCUUCUCUUUCUUUCGUCUGUGAUUCAAUGUUUGAGAAGAUGAUGACCAUCUUGUGGUGGUAAUGAUGUUGGGAGCUACGGUUAUGGAAGAUUUGUCGGUGUUUGUUGUAUAGGACGAUGACAACUAUUUUCUUAUGAUGUUGUUGAUAUGUGUAGAUAAUUUACAAUUCCUCCUUAGCCAAGUCCUGUAAAAACAAGUUGGCCCGAGCUGGUUGGUGUGACAAUAGAUGAAGCUGAGAAGAAGAUAAAGGAAGAUAUGUCUGAGGCUUAAAUUCAAGUGGCGCCUCCUAAUACACUUGUUACUCUUGAUUGUAGAUUCCAGAUAUAUUAGAGAGUUUGAUUACUUGUGGAUGAAUCUAAUAAGGUCAUUGAGACUCAAACCAUUGGCUAAUAUUCCAUCAACACAAGUGAGAGGAGAUAUAGUUAUGAAGCUUGUGAUGUUGUUUGAAUAAUAAAUUUAAUUUCUUUUCUA
Long non-coding RNA from Vicia villosa (hairy vetch), 858 nucleotides. RefSeq lists it as uncharacterized. NCBI's taxonomy places the organism in Eukaryota, Viridiplantae, Streptophyta, Magnoliopsida, Fabales, Fabaceae. The transcript is spliced from 2 exons. The record is from RefSeq and is a predicted model, not a curated record.